RNAcentral lists this transfer-messenger RNA (351 nucleotides) under Tissierellales. Its description in RNAcentral is "UBA3583 sp012520755 Standard tmRNA". It matches the Rfam family "transfer-messenger RNA". Rfam says of the family: Bacterial tmRNA, also known as 10Sa RNA or SsrA, is named for its dual tRNA and mRNA-like properties. Its role is to liberate the mRNA from a stalled ribosome. RNAcentral also lists the same sequence under 1 other name. Lineage: Bacteria; Bacillati; Bacillota; Tissierellia. The record is from RNAcentral.
GGGGGCGAAUUUGGUUUCGACGGGGAUUUGGAAUCAAGAAUAGCGAGCCGUUGUCGCCAAGCAACGAUAAAAGUGGCACAAACAAUAAACGCAAACGAAAAUAAUUUCGCUUUAGCAGCUUAGUUCUGCUUCGUCAAACUUAGGAUACCCACGACCUAGGAUUUGGCGUCAACUUAGUGGGGAACCGCGCUUAGCAAAGCUUUGAGCUAAGAACGGAAAUCAUGAAGCUACUAAAACUCAUAUCUUGUCAGUAGGAGAUGAGUGGAGGGAAUGUUAAAAUACUGACUGCGCUCGGAGAAAUUCUUGUGGAAGGGUUUUCGGACGUGGGUUCGACACCCACCGCCUCCACCA